AGAGUUUGAUCCUGGCUCAGAACAAACGUUGGCGGCGUGCCUAAUACAUGCAAGUCGAACGGGGAAAGCUCCUUCGGGAGCCGGUACCAGUGGCGCACGGGUGAGUAACGCGUGGAUAAUCUGCCCUCAGGCGGGGAAUAACUAGCCGAAAGGUUAGCUAAUACCGCAUACGAUCGCAGUCUCUGCGGAGGCAGCGAUGAAAGGCUUCGGCCACCUGAGGAUGAGUCCGCGUCCGAUUAGCUUGUUGGUGGGGUAAAAGCUCACCAAGGCUCCGAUCGGUAGCUGGUCUUAGAGGAUGAUCAGCCACACUGGGACUGAGACACGGCCCAGACUCCUACGGGAGGCAGC
This 348-nucleotide ribosomal RNA is filed under the name uncultured bacterium. RNAcentral describes it as "bacterial SSU rRNA". It matches the Rfam family "Bacterial small subunit ribosomal RNA", at positions 8 to 352 of the family's 1533-position model. The record is from RNAcentral.